UGCAGUCGAACGGUGAACACGGAGCUUGCUCUGUGGGAUCAGUGGCGAACGGGUGAGUAACACGUGAGCAACCUGCCCCUGACUCUGGGAUAAGCGCUGGAAACGGCGUCUAAUACUGGAUAUGUGACGUGACCGCAUGGUCUGCGUUUGGAAAGAUUUUUCGGUUGGGGAUGGGCUCGCGGCCUAUCAGCUUGUUGGUGAGGUAAUGGCUCACCAAGGCGUCGACGGGUAGCCGGCCUGAGAGGGUGACCGGCCACACUGGGACUGAGACACGGCCCAGACUCCUACGGGAGGCAGCAGUGGGGAAUAUUGCACAAUGGGCGAAAGCCUGAUGCAGCAACGCCGCGUGAGGGAUGACGGCCUUCGGGUUGUAAACCUCUUUUAGCAGGGAAGAAGCGAAAGUGACGGUACCUGCAGAAAAAGCGCCGGCUAACUACGUGCCAGCAGCCGCGGUAAUACGUAGGGCGCAAGCGUUAUCCGGAAUUAUUGGGCGUAAAGAGCUCGUAGGCGGUUUGUCGCGUCUGCUGUGAAAUCCCGAGGCUCAACCUCGGGCCUGCAGUGGGUACGGGCAGACUAGAGUGCGGUAGGGGAGAUUGGAAUUCCUGGUGUAGCGGUGGAAUGCGCAGAUAUCAGGAGGAACACCGAUGGCGAAGGCAGAUCUCUGGGCCGUAACUGACGCUGAGGAGCGAAAGGGUGGGGAGCAAACAGGCUUAGAUACCCUGGUAGUCCACCCCGUAAACGUUGGGAACUAGUUGUGGGGUCCAUUCCACGGAUUCCGUGACGCAGCUAACGCAUUAAGUUCCCCGCCUGGGGAGUACGGCCGCAAGGCUAAAACUCAAAGGAAUUGACGGGGACCCGCACAAGCGGCGGAGCAUGCGGAUUAAUUCGAUGCAACGCGAAGAACCUUACCAAGGCUUGACAUAUACGAGAACGGGCCAGAAAUGGUCAACUCUUUGGACACUCGUAAACAGGUGGUUGCAUGGGUUGUCGUUCAGCUCGUGUCCUGAAGAUGUUUGGGUUAAGUCCCGCAACGAGCGCAACCCUCGUUCUAUGUUGCCAGCACGUAAUGGUGGGGAACUCAUGGGAAUACUGGCCGGGGUCAACUCGGGAGGAAAGGUGGGGGAUGAACGUCAAAUCAUC
RNAcentral lists this ribosomal RNA (1140 nucleotides) under Microbacterium sp. Its description in RNAcentral is "bacterial SSU rRNA". It matches the Rfam family "Bacterial small subunit ribosomal RNA", at positions 56 to 1194 of the family's 1533-position model. Lineage: Bacteria; Bacillati; Actinomycetota; Actinomycetes; Micrococcales; Microbacteriaceae. The record is from RNAcentral.